Molecule: ribosomal RNA, 495 nt
Filed under: uncultured bacterium
Lineage: Bacteria
Description: partial 16S ribosomal RNA
Rfam family: Bacterial small subunit ribosomal RNA
Source: RNAcentral
AUGAACGCUGGCGGCGUGCCUAAUACAUGCAAGUCGAGCGAACGGACGAGAAGCUUGCUUCUCUGAUGUUAGCGGCGGACGGGUGAGUAACACGUGGAUAACCUACCUAUAAGACUGGGAUAACUUCGGGAAACCGGAGCUAAUACCGGAUAAUAUUUUGAACCGCAUGGUUCAAAAGUGAAAGACGGUCUUGCUGUCACUUAUAGAUGGAUCCGCGCUGCAUUAGCUAGUUGGUAAGGUAACGGCUUACCAAGGCAACGAUGCAUAGCCGACCUGAGAGGGUGAUCGGCCACACUGGAACUGAGACACGGUCCAGACUCCUACGGGAGGCAGCAGUAGGGAAUCUUCCGCAGUGGGCGAAAGCCUGACGGAGCAACGCCGCGUGAGUGAUGAAGGUCUUCGGAUCGUAAAACUCUGUUAUUAGGGAAGAACAUAUGUGUAAGUAACUGUGCACAUCUUGACGGUACCUAAGCAGAAAGCCACGGCUAACUACGU